RNAcentral lists this transfer RNA (69 nucleotides) under Marmota monax (woodchuck). It matches the Rfam family "tRNA". Rfam says of the family: Transfer RNA (tRNA) molecules are approximately 80 nucleotides in length. The record is from Rfam by way of RNAcentral. Lineage: Eukaryota; Metazoa; Chordata; Mammalia; Rodentia; Sciuridae.
GGAAUUGUGGCUUAGUGGUAGAGCACUUGCCUGGCAUGUAUGAGGCCCUGGGUUCAACCCUCAGCACCA